GACGAACGCUGGCGGCGUGCUUAACACAUGCAAGUCGAGCGGUAAGGCCCUUUCGGGGGUACACGAGCGGCGAACGGGUGAGUAACACGUGGGUGACCUGCCCUUAGCUCUGGGAUAAGCCUGGGAAACUGGGUCUAAUACCGGAUAUGACUCCAUGACGCAUGUUGUGGGGUGGAAAGCCUUGUGCGGCUAGGGAUGGGCCCGCGGCCUAUCAGCUUGUUGGUGGGGUGAUGGCCUACCAAGGCGACGACGGGUAGCCGGCCUGAGAGGGCGACCGGCCACACUGGGACUGAGACACGGCCCAGACUCCUACGGGAGGCAGCAGUGGGGAGUCUUGCGCAAUGGGCGAAAGCCUGACGCAGCGACGCCGCGUGAGGGAUGACGGCCU
This 388-nucleotide ribosomal RNA is filed under the name uncultured bacterium. RNAcentral's name for it is "bacterial SSU rRNA". It matches the Rfam family "Bacterial small subunit ribosomal RNA", at positions 28 to 417 of the family's 1533-position model. The record is from RNAcentral.